GUCAUACUACGGCGCAACGCCCUGUAAAGUAAACGAUGACCCGUAGUGAACUUCGGGGUAAAAUGCGUAUCAAAUUAAAAAUUGCUGCUGACCUGGGGCUUCGUACCCGGGUCGGUUUUCUUU
Kluyvera ascorbata ATCC 33433 is the source of this 123-nucleotide non-coding RNA. NCBI's taxonomy places the organism in Bacteria, Pseudomonadati, Pseudomonadota, Gammaproteobacteria, Enterobacterales, Enterobacteriaceae. The record is from Rfam.